AUGAGGGACGCCGGCAUGACGAUCCGGCGGCGCAUCAUGUACGCCAGCGCGCGCACGGCGCCGUCCGGGUCGAUCUCGAACAGCUUCCCCACGAUCCGCGUGUAGGCCAGCUCGUGCCGCUUCUCGUCAGCCGCGAUGGCACCGCAUAUGCGCGCGAGCGCCACGUCGCCAUACUCCUUGGCGCGACGGGCUGUGUUGCCGUGAGAGAUGGAGGUGGCACGCUCCUGGAAGGCGACGUAG
This 240-nucleotide ribosomal RNA is filed under the name Triticum aestivum (bread wheat). RNAcentral's name for it is "partial small subunit ribosomal RNA". The record is from RNAcentral. Lineage: Eukaryota; Viridiplantae; Streptophyta; Magnoliopsida; Poales; Poaceae.